GUAGGUGGCAAGCGUUGUCCGGAAUUAUUGGGCGCAAAGCGCGCGCAGGUGGUUCUUUAAGUCUGAUGUGAAAGCCCCCGGCUCAACCGGGGAGGGUCAUUGGAAACUGGGGAACUUGAGUGCAGGAGAGGAAAGUGGAAUUCCACGUGUAGCGGUGAAAUGCGUAGAUAUGUGGAGGAACACCAGUGGCGAAGGCGACUUUCUGGCCUGUAACUGACACUGAGGCGCGAAAGCGUGGGGAGCAAACAGGGAUUAGAUACCCUGGUAGUCCACGCCGUAAACGAUGAGUGCUAAGUGUUGGGGGGGUUUCCGCCCCCUCAGUGCUGCAGCUAACGCAUUAAGCACUCCGCCUGGGAGUACGGUCGCAAGACUG
RNAcentral lists this ribosomal RNA (373 nucleotides) under uncultured organism. Its description in RNAcentral is "partial 16S ribosomal RNA". It matches the Rfam family "Bacterial small subunit ribosomal RNA", at positions 527 to 896 of the family's 1533-position model. The record is from RNAcentral.